GACGAACGCUGGCGGCGUGCUUAACACAUGCAAGUCGAGCGGGGUGAUGGUGCUUGCACUAUCACUAGCGGCGGACGGGUGAGUAAUGCUUAGGAAUCUGCCUAUUAGUGGGGGACAACAUCUCGAAAGGGAUGCUAAUACCGCAUACGUCCUACGGGGGAAAGCAGGGGAUCACUUGUGACCUUGCGCUAAUAGAUGAGCCUAAGUCGGAUUAGCUAGUUGGUGGGGUAAAGGCCUACCAAGGCGACGAUCUGUAGCGGGUCUGAGAGGAUGAUCAACCACACUGGGACUGAGACACGGCCCAGACUCCUACGGGAGGCAGCAGUGGGGAAUAUUGGACAAUGGGGGGAACCCUGAUCCAGCCAUGCCGCGUGUGUGAAGAAGGCCUUAUGGUUGUAAAGCACUUUAAGCGAGGAGGAGGCUCUUUUGGUUAAUACCCAGAAUGAGUGGACGUUACUCGCAGAAUAAGCACCGGCUAACUCUGUGCCAGCCGCCGCCGUAA
This 502-nucleotide ribosomal RNA is filed under the name uncultured bacterium. RNAcentral's name for it is "partial 16S ribosomal RNA". It matches the Rfam family "Bacterial small subunit ribosomal RNA", at positions 28 to 523 of the family's 1533-position model. The record is from RNAcentral.